Molecule: ribosomal RNA, 440 nt
Filed under: uncultured bacterium
Lineage: Bacteria
Description: partial 16S ribosomal RNA
Rfam family: Bacterial small subunit ribosomal RNA
Source: RNAcentral
CCUACGGGAGGCAGCAGUGGGGAAUAUUGCACAAUGGGGGAAACCCUGAUGCAGCGACGCCGCGUGAGUGAAGAAGUAUCUCGGUACGUAAAGCUCUAUCAGCAGGGAAGAAAAUGACGGUACCUGACUAAGAAGCCCCGGCUAACUACGUGCCAGCAGCCGCGGUAAUACGUAGGGGGCAAGCGUUAUCCGGAUUUACUGGGUGUAAAGGGAGCGUAGACGGCAGCACAAGUCUGGAGUGAAAUCCCGGGGCUUAACCCCGGAACUGCUUUGGAAACUGUGCGGCUGGAGUGCAGGAGGGGUAAGCGGAAUUCCUAGUGUAGCGGUGAAAUGCGUAGAUAUUAGGAGGAACACCGGUGGCGAAGGCGACUUACUGGACUGUAACUGACGCUGAGGCAUGAGAGCAUGGGGAGCAAACAGGAUUAGAUACCCUUGUAGUC